GCCCCGGCAGGGUAGCGGGGGGCGGGGCGAGGAGCCCGGACGCCUGGGUCCUUUGCACGCCGCGGCGAGAGCUGCGGGGGUGUGUGUGUGUGUGGGGGGGGUUCCAGGGCUGCCGGAGCGGGGUGCCCGGCCGAGACCCUCCCCGCCCCGGCGCCACCCGGCCCGGCGCCACCCGGCGCCGCCCAGGGCAAGGUCCCCCGUCCGCGGCCAUAAAUACAGCGAGCGGCUGGGAUCCGGGAUCCCUGGAGCAUCUGCAGCCAUGGACGGGGCCAAGCACCACCACGGGGACCACGGCAAGAAGCACAAGGACGGACACUCCUCCGACUCCAGCUCCAGCUCCAGCUCCAGCGAUGGGGAGAAGCACCACGGUCCGGGCCACGAGCACAAGAAGAAGGAGAAACUGCACAAGAAACCCAAGGACAAGAAAAAGGAAAAGAAAGGCCACUGAGCGGGGCCAGGGCCCAGCAGCACUGCUGGGUGCAACGGGGCAGCGACGGGGCAGGGGCUGCCCCGAGGCAGGGCCCAGCAUCCACCCGUGGCAGCACCACCCCGUUCUACCUGCUAAUAAAGAGCUCCAACCCUGA
This is a long non-coding RNA of Dromaius novaehollandiae (emu), 584 nucleotides long. RefSeq lists it as uncharacterized. NCBI's taxonomy places the organism in Eukaryota, Metazoa, Chordata, Aves, Casuariiformes, Dromaiidae. The transcript has 3 exons. The record is from RefSeq and is a predicted model, not a curated record.